CCCAAUCCUCCCAGCAUCAGAGUCUUUUCCAAUGAGUCAACUCUUUGUAUGAGGUGGCCAAAGUACUGGAGUUUCAGCUUUAGCAUCAUUCCUUCCAAAGAACACCCAGGGCUGAUCUCCUUUAGAAUGGACUGGUUCAGCUUCAUAGAUACCUUCAAUUGUGUCAUAUUUUAUAUUGCUCAUAUAUGUGAUAUCAUAUAGCAUUUGUCUUUCUCUCCCUGACAUACUUCACUUAGUAUGAGAAUCUCUAGUUGCAUCCCUGUUGCUGCAAAUGGCAUUUUUCAUUCUCUUUUAUGCUUGAGUAAUAUUCCAUUGUAUAUAUGUACCACUUCUUCUCUAUCAAUUCAUUUGUCGAUGGACACUUAGGUUGCUUCCAUGUCUUGGAUAUUGUAAAUAGAGCUGCUAUGAACAUAGGAGUGUGUAUAUCUUUUAGAAUUAAGAGUUUUCUUCUGGAUAUAUGCCCAGAAGUGGGGUUGUUCUGGCUGUUGUGAAUGCCUGAAUCUUGACAACAAUCUUCACAUGCUAAAGAAACAUAAUAAACUAGAAGUUGAGUGCUUCCUUCAAGAACAUGUUCCGCCCAGCAGAGUAUCAGUAGUCAAUUUUCUCCAUUUUUCGUGCUCAUUAUUUCAGGAGAUUCCGUUUGAUGAGAGAGCUGCACAUACAAGAGACUUGCGGGAAGCAUGGACCUUAGUGAAAAAUGGCCUUUGGAGGAAGGAACCUGGCUGUCUCACGCUGGAGUUCAUCAUUUUGCCAACACCAGAGGGGACAACGAGUUUGUGGAAGCCUCUCCCGCGCCCUACAGCCCGGAGGAGUUCGGUAAGUCUGCCCUUUUUGCCUUUUCUUGUUAGAACCCAGCCUGGGAAUCGCGAAUUUGGAGUCCAUGCCCGAGGGGCGGAGAGAAAGGGCUGGCUGGGGACUCUCGCCCUGCUGCACGUUCCUUUGCUGUGAGAACUGGCCUUUUCCUGGAGCGUGAGCUUUGGAGGUGGCAGGGUGAGAGUCGGCUGUGCGGUGUGUGCGUGUGUGUGUGUGUCCUGGUCUUUGGUGAUGCUCCCAGGAGCGCCACAGCAAACUUCCUGAUCUGCGGGACCCUGCAAGCAGGCGGUCUCAUCCUGCCUGGAAAGAUGUAGCUAGCCGGUAAAUGCCACAAG
RNAcentral lists this long non-coding RNA (1148 nucleotides) under Bos grunniens (domestic yak). RNAcentral describes it as "lncRNA (ENSBGRG00000010731.1)". The record is from RNAcentral. Lineage: Eukaryota; Metazoa; Chordata; Mammalia; Artiodactyla; Bovidae.